Molecule: ribosomal RNA, 489 nt
Filed under: uncultured bacterium
Lineage: Bacteria
Description: bacterial SSU rRNA
Rfam family: Bacterial small subunit ribosomal RNA
Source: RNAcentral
UCAGAUUGAACGCUGGCGGCAGACCUAACACAUGCAAGUCGAGCGGUAGAGAGGUGCUUGCAUCUCUUGAGAGCGGCGGACGGGUGAGUAAUGCCUAGGAAUCUGCCUAGUGGUGGGGGGAUAACGUUCGGAAACGGACGCUAAUACCGCAUACGUCCUACGGGAGAAAGCGGGGGAUCUUCGGACCUCGCGCCAUUAGAUGAGCCUAGGUCGGAUUAGCUAGUUGGUGAGGUAAUGGCUCACCAAGGCGACGAUCCGUAACUGGUCUGAGAGGAUGAUCAGUCACACUGGAACUGAGACACGGUCCAGACUCCUACGGGAGGCAGCAGUGGGGAAUAUUGGACAAUGGGCGAAAGCCUGAUCCAGCCAUGCCGCGUGUGUGAAGAAGGUCUUCGGAUUGUAAAGCACUUUAAGUUGGGAGGAAGGGUAGUAACCUAAUACGUUGCUACUUUGACGUUACCGACAGAAUAAGCACCGGCUAACUUCGUG